GUAGGUGGCAAGCGUUGUCCGGAAUUAUUGGGCGUAAAGCGCGCGCAGGCGGUUCUUUAAGUCUGAUGUGAAAGCCCACGGCUCAACCGUGGAGGGUCAUUGGAAACUGGAGAACUUGAGUACAGAAGAGGAAAGCGGAAUUCCACGUGUAGCGGUGAAAUGCGUAGAGAUGUGGAGGAACACCAGUGGCGAAGGCGGCUUUCUGGUCUGUAACUGACACUGAGGCGCGAAAGCGUGGGGAGCAAACAGGAUUAGAUACCCUGGUAGUCCACGCCGUAAACGAUGAGUGCUAAGUGUUAGGGGGUUUCCGCCCCCCUUAGUGCUGCAGCUAACGCAUUAAGCACUCCGCCCUGGGAGUACGGCCGCAAGGCUG
Molecule: ribosomal RNA, 373 nt
Filed under: uncultured organism
Description: partial 16S ribosomal RNA
Rfam family: Bacterial small subunit ribosomal RNA
Source: RNAcentral